Long non-coding RNA from Pantherophis guttatus, 1227 nucleotides. RefSeq lists it as uncharacterized. The record is from RefSeq and is a predicted model, not a curated record. Lineage: Eukaryota; Metazoa; Chordata; Lepidosauria; Squamata; Colubridae.
UUACGGAAAGAAUUUAGUGACGCCAUAAUAACGCGACUAUAGGAUCAGGUCCCUUUCCAGGACUUCCGCUCCAUGGUUCCCAUGGUGACGGGAUCCCGAAUCAGCUGCAUCUCCUCCCCUCUGGGUUAAAUAGGUGAUGUAAGAAACAUGUCCUUAAAAAGAGUCAGAUUUGAAAUUACAUUUUUCUACUCAAAGAUUGUUAAAGUCGUGUGAUGGUAACCUUUAUGGAAUGUUGAGCACCUAGAAGCCAAAAGGAACAUGCGUGGCAAAUUUCAAGCUUGUAGGGUUUACGGUGCUGGAGAUUUCGUGAUUAAUGUGUCUGGCAUAAUGCUGAAGAGGAAUACAAACAAUGUUUAUAUUUAAAACAAGUUUAUGGAUAGGAUCUUCAUUCUAGUUCAAAACAGAAAAAAACUUCAUUUUAGUCAAACUACAAAACCUAAUGGAUCUUGAAAUUUAUCUAUAGACUUUAAGUAUACAGGAGAGCAAUGAGAAUUCCCAAAUUUAUAAAUCUCAAAAAGAGAUCAUGUGGACUGGAGCAGGAAAAGACUUAUACAUUAGAUUCAAGGCCUUCAGUCAUUCACGCUAACAUUUAUAUUAGCACUAUCUAAAUGUCUCCAAUUAAUUGUAUCGGAUUUUUUUCUUCUUCACAGUAAAAGAGUAGCAGCAAAUCCUGCUUCCUACUUUCAUUCUGCAUUUGUGAUUAAACAUUUGUUUAGUGAUCUGACUUUGGAAUACUUGGACAGGAGUGCUGAAAUACUUUGCAUGCCAAGUUAUUCUUAAUUUAAACACUAGUUGUAAAGAUUACAGAGAAGUUAGUACAUGCUUUAACUUGAACACAUACACUCAUUGCCUUCCUUUUUUUUCCUCCAGGCAAAAUACAAAAUACUAAUGUUUACUCUAAUGUUCUGUUUGAAACAAAGAAACUAAAGAUUGCGUGCUGUAGCUUUCUAUAUUAAGAUUGUCAAUUGUGGCUUACAUUCGGAUAUAUCUCCUUUUGAUGUCAAAAGAUAGUUAUCAGAGAAGAGAACUGUUUUUCUUACAGCUCCUGAUCUAUAAUUAUUCUUCAGCUAUCUUAUUUUAGCAAGUCGCUAUAUGAAUUCUCCUGUUCUUCCAAUUUACAAUGCAAUUAUUAAAUUCCUAAACUGUCCAGAAAAAAAAGGGGGGGGGAUCUUAGUUUGUGGCAACAACAAAAACAUUAUGGUACCAUAAAGAUUAUUAUGGCAUAAA